GUAGAUCCCACAAACCUGAAUGAUUUCAUGGCUGUCACAGUGCUGUUGAGUAUGGAAGGGAGUUUUGAGUGUGUUUAGCUCCAGGUUUUUGUGACUGCACCAGAGGACUAGGUGUUCAGCCAGCUGUAUGUGUGCACAACUACAGAAUGGGAGAUCAAAGUUCAGGAAAUUCAGGAAGUCGGUCUGCAAACUUGGAUGGAUGUUUACAACAAACAGUUUGGUGAUGUUACCAUGUUCCAAGAGUUCCAGCAGUUACCUUGAGCCUGCUCUCUGUAGAGCCCGCGACUGGAGGUGUUGCUUCAAACCAUCUCACAUUUAGAGAAAUGGAGGGCACGCAUGGAGAAAACAAGGGAGGGAGAAAGAGUGACGCACAGUAACAGCACUUAGGAAGGGAUAAUGUUAAAAGAAACUACUGACAAAAAUAGGCAUGAUGGGAAUUCCCUUGUUUGCAAAAAAUAAUCAAAUACAAACACUGUCUCCACUUUUUUUGGGUCCAGCUUUUCCUUUAC
Long non-coding RNA from Siniperca chuatsi (mandarin fish), 509 nucleotides. RefSeq lists it as uncharacterized. The record is from RefSeq and is a predicted model, not a curated record. NCBI's taxonomy places the organism in Eukaryota, Metazoa, Chordata, Actinopteri, Centrarchiformes, Sinipercidae. The transcript has 3 exons.